RNAcentral lists this ribosomal RNA (1360 nucleotides) under uncultured bacterium. RNAcentral describes it as "16S ribosomal RNA". It matches the Rfam family "Bacterial small subunit ribosomal RNA". The record is from RNAcentral.
UUAGAGUUUGAUCCUGGCUCAAGAGGACCUUUGGCGGCGCGCCUAACACAUGCAAGUCGAACGAGCGAGAGAGAGCUUGCUUUCUCGAGCGAGUGGCGAACGGGUGAGUAACGCGUGAGGAACCUGCCUCAAAGAGGGGGACAACAGUUGGAAACGACUGCUAAUACCGCAUAAGCCCACGGGUCGGCAUCGACCAGAGGGAAAAGGAGCAAUCCGCUUUGAGAUGGCCUCGCGUCCGAUUAGCUAGUUGGUGAGGUAACGGCCCACCAAGGCGACGAUCGGUAGCCGGACUGAGAGGUUGAACGGCCACAUUGGGACUGAGACACGGCCCAGACUCCUACGGGAGGCAGCAGUGGGGAAUAUUGCACAAUGGGGGAAACCCUGAUGCAGCGACGCCGCGUGGAGGAAGAAGGUCUUCGGAUUGUAAACUCCUGUUGUUGAGGAAGAUAAUGACGGUACUCAACAAGGAAGUGACGGCUAACUACGUGCCAGCAGCCGCGGUAAAACGUAGGUCACAAGCGUUGUCCGGAAUUACUGGGUGUAAAGGGAGCGCAGGCGGGAAGACAAGUUGGAAGUGAAAUCCAUGGGCUCAACCCAUGAACUGCUUUCAAAACUGUUUUUCUUGAGUAGUGCAGAGGUAGGCGGAAUUCCCGGUGUAGCGGUGGAAUGCGUUGAUAUCGGGAGGAACACCAGUGGCGAAGGCGGCCUACUGGGCACCAACUGACGCUGAGGCUCGAAAGUGUGGGUAGCAAACAGGAUUAGAUACCCUGGUAGUCCACACCGUAAACGAUGAUUACUAGGUGUUGGAGGAUUGACCCCUUCAGUGCCGCAGUUAACACAAUAAGUAAUCCACCUGGGGAGUACGACCGCAAGGCUGAAACUCAAAGGAAUUGACGGGGGCCCGCACAAGCAGUGGAGUAUGUGGUUUAAUUCGACGCAACGCGAAGAACCUUACCAAGUCUUGACAUCCCUUGACGAUGCUGGAAACAGUAUUUCUCUUCGGAGCAAGGAGACAGGUGGUGCAUGGUUGUCGUCAGCUCGUGUCGUGAGAUGUUGGGUUAAGUCCCGCAACGAGCGCAACCCUUAUGGUCAGUUACUACGCAAGAGGACUCUGGCCAGACUGCCGUUGACAAAACGGAGGAAGGUGGGGAUGACGUCAAAUCAUCAUGCCCUUUAUGACUUGGGCUACACACGUACUACAAUGGCGUUAAACAAAGAGAAGCAAGACCGCGAGGUGGAGCAAAACUCAGAAACAACGUCCCAGUUCGGACUGCAGGCUGCAACUCGCCUGCACGAAGUCGGAAUUGCUAGUAAUCGUGGAUCAGCAUGCCACGGUGAAUACGUUCCCGGGCCUUGCACA